GAUGAAGAACGUAGCGAAAUGCGAUACGUAAUGUGAAUUGCAGAAUUCAGUGAAUCAUCGAAUCUUUGAACGCAUAUUGCGCUCUUUGGUAUUCCGAAGAGCAUGCUUGUUUGAGUAUCAGUAAACACCUCAACCUCUUCUUGAUUUUUCAAAAGGAGGGUGGACUUGAGCUAUCCCAACAACCUUUACCGGUCGGCGGGCGGCUUGAAAUGCAGGUGCAGCUGGACUUUUAUCUGAGCUAAAAGCAUAUCUAUUUAGUCCUCGUCAAACAGGAUUAUUACUUUUGCUGCAGCUAACAUAAAGGAUAAUUGUCCUCUUUGCUGACUGAUGCAGGAUUUUACGACACUUUAUGUGUUGUUCAACUCGAUCUCAAAGCAAGUAAGACUGCCCGCUGAACUUAAGCAUAUCAAUAAGCGGAGGA
RNAcentral lists this unclassified non-coding RNA (421 nucleotides) under soil metagenome. Its description in RNAcentral is "partial contains 5.8S ribosomal RNA, internal transcribed spacer 2, and large subunit ribosomal RNA". The stretch from base 1 to 120 matches the Rfam family "5.8S ribosomal RNA", at positions 35 to 154 of the family's 154-position model. The record is from RNAcentral.